UACGUAGGGGGCAAGCGUUAUCCGGAUUUACUGGGUGUAAAGGGAGCGCAGGCGGUUCUGCAAGUCUGGUGUGAAAGCCCGGGGCCCAACCCCGGGACUGCAUUGGAAACUGCGGGACUUGAGUGUCGGAGGGGCAAGUGGAAUUCCUAGUGUAGCGGUGAAAUGCGUAGAUAUUAGGAGGAACACCAGUGGCGAAGGCGGCUUGCUGGACGACAACUGACGCUGAGGCUCGAAAGCGUGGGGAGCAAACAGG
RNAcentral lists this ribosomal RNA (253 nucleotides) under uncultured bacterium. Its description in RNAcentral is "partial 16S ribosomal RNA". It matches the Rfam family "Bacterial small subunit ribosomal RNA", at positions 524 to 776 of the family's 1533-position model. The record is from RNAcentral.